This 162-nucleotide small nuclear RNA is filed under the name Carlito syrichta (Philippine tarsier). RNAcentral describes it as "U1 spliceosomal RNA (ENSTSYG00000024389.2)". It matches the Rfam family "U1 spliceosomal RNA". Rfam says of the family: U1 is a small nuclear RNA (snRNA) component of the spliceosome (involved in pre-mRNA splicing). Its 5' end forms complementary base pairs with the 5' splice junction, thus defining the 5' donor site of an intron. The record is from RNAcentral. Lineage: Eukaryota; Metazoa; Chordata; Mammalia; Primates; Tarsiidae.
AGAGAAACCCAGCCAGGAGCCUGCCAUGAUCACACAGGUGGGCUUCCCAAGGCAGGCUCAUCUGUGGUACUCCUGAGGUGCUGACCCCUGCAGCCUCCGCCAAUGUGGGCAGCUUGACUGCACAAUCUGUGGUAGUGGGGGCUGUGAUGGAGCUCUCCCCUG